UAAUUGUGUUUAGGGAGCGACCGGCUCUUGGUCAGUAUUGGCUGGACUUGAGGAGGGGCUUCUUCUUUACAAGUCCUUUUUUGACAAGGCAUUGAAGCAUGGAUUUUCAAGAGGGAGAGAUGGACAUUAACUCAUUUGCUGUAGACCCCACCUAUUGAAAUCAUGAUGCUACAUCCACAAGAUGAGCAGCAACAGAUUGAAUUCCUGAAUUCGUUUAGUCUCAUCUCCAGCAUGAGUUAAAAUUUGGGUCUGAAACCCAGGUGGACUGUUGAGUAGUCCAAAUCUGAAUUUCUACUGGAGUCUUGCCAGAUGAUAUCAGGAACAAGGUAACUUCUAAUGUGUGAUUUGCCGAUUGCCACCAGUCAAAAAGAUCACCUUACAUAAGGUUACUGGAUUGGUGACUGGAUGUUGAUCUUAACAUGUAAGGAUUUGUAAAAUGAAUGCCAAUACAUUUCAACUGUUUAUGUAGGUUACUACAAAUAAAGUCUA
Molecule: long non-coding RNA, 489 nt
Organism: Daphnia pulicaria
Lineage: Eukaryota; Metazoa; Arthropoda; Branchiopoda; Diplostraca; Daphniidae
Exons: 6
Source: RefSeq, a predicted model, not a curated record